RNAcentral lists this ribosomal RNA (410 nucleotides) under uncultured bacterium. RNAcentral's name for it is "bacterial SSU rRNA". It matches the Rfam family "Bacterial small subunit ribosomal RNA", at positions 28 to 429 of the family's 1533-position model. The record is from RNAcentral.
GACGAACGCUGGCGGCGUGCUUAACACAUGCAAGUGGUGCGACGAACCAGGGCUUGCCCUGGGGCAAAGCCGCGAACGGGUGAGUAACACGUGGGUAAUCUGCCCCGAUGACCGGGACAACCCGAGGAAACUCGGGCUAAUACCGGAUGUGGUGCCCGAGCAUAAGCUCGUGUACUAAAGGAAGCUUCGGCCUCCGCAUUGGGAGGAGCCCGCGGCCCAUUAGCUUGUUGGUGGGGUCAAGGCCCACCAAGGCGACGAUGGGUAGCUGGUCUGAGAGGACGAUCAGCCACACUGGGACUGAGACACGGCCCCAGGGCUCCUACGGGAGGCAGCAGUGGGGAAUCUUGCGCAAUGCGCGAAAGCGUGACGCAGCAACGCCGCGUGGGGAAGACGGGCCUUCGGGUUGUAAA